RNAcentral lists this ribosomal RNA (429 nucleotides) under Gemmatimonadota bacterium. RNAcentral describes it as "Gemmatimonadetes bacterium partial 16S ribosomal RNA". It matches the Rfam family "Bacterial small subunit ribosomal RNA", at positions 355 to 776 of the family's 1533-position model. The record is from RNAcentral. Lineage: Bacteria; Pseudomonadati; Gemmatimonadota.
UAGGGAAUCUUCGGCAAUGGACGAAAGUCUGACCGAGCAACGCCGCGUGAGUGAAGAAGGUUUUCGGAUCGUAAAACUCUGUUGUUAGAGAAGAACAAGGACGUUAGUAACUGAACGUCCCCUGACGGUAUCUAACCAGAAAGCCACGGCUAACUACGUGCCAGCAGCCGCGGUAAUACGUAGGUGGCAAGCGUUGUCCGGAUUUAUUGGGCGUAAAGCGAGCGCAGGCGGUUUCUUAAGUCUGAUGUGAAAGCCCCCGGCUCAACCGGGGGGGGUCAUUGGAAACUGGGAGACUUGAGUGCAGAAGAGGAGAGUGGAAUUCCAUGUGUAGCGGUGAAAUGCGUAGAUAUAUGGAGGAACACCAGUGGCGAAGGCGGCUCUCUGGUAUGUAACUGACGCUGAGGCUCGAAAGCGUGGGGAGCAAACAGG